GUGUUUUCCAGUAGAAAAGGUGUCUGAAAAAAGACUUAAAAGGGAAUUUGGUGUAAAUCCAAAACUGUCCCCGCAACUGUGAAUGCUGAUGAAAUAAGGAAUAGCCACUGUGAGUAACGAUCAUGGGAAGGCCUUAGAGUAAAGCGAAGCAUAAGUCAGGAGACCUGCCUUUUUUAUGACGUUUUA
This 186-nucleotide non-coding RNA is filed under the name Bacillus sp. (in: firmicutes). The record is from RNAcentral. Lineage: Bacteria; Bacillati; Bacillota; Bacilli; Caryophanales; Bacillaceae. RNAcentral also lists the same sequence under 1 other name.